RNAcentral lists this ribosomal RNA (494 nucleotides) under uncultured bacterium. Its description in RNAcentral is "partial 16S ribosomal RNA". It matches the Rfam family "Bacterial small subunit ribosomal RNA", at positions 36 to 507 of the family's 1533-position model. The record is from RNAcentral.
GCCGCCCUCUUUCUUCGUGCUUAACACAUGCAAGUCGAACGGAAAGGCCUGCUUUCCCUUGUGGAUUGCGGGUACUCGAGUGGCGAACGGGUGAGUAACACGUGAGUGAUCUGCCCCCAACUUGGGUAUAAGCCUGGGAAACUGGGUCUAAUUCCCGAUAGGACUGCAGGGUGGUGCCUGUGGUGGAAAACGAUUUUCUAGUGGUUGGGGAUGAGCUCGCGGCCUAUCAGCUUGUUGGUGGGGUAAUGGCCUACCAAGGCGGCGACGGGUAGCCGGCCUGGGAGGGUGGACGGCCACAGUGGGACUGAGAUACGGCCCAGACUCCUACGGGAGGCAGCAGUGGGGAAUAUUGCACAAUGGGCGGAAGCCUGAUGCAGCGACGCCGCGUGGGGGAUGACGGCCUUCGGGUUGUAAACUCCUUUCGACCGCGAGGAAGCCACCUGGUUGGAAGGGUGGUGACGGUAGUGGUAGAAGAAGCACCGGCUAACUACGUG